AGGAAGGGUGGGAGAGUUAGAAGCAGAGGUGGGAAAACUGCAAGCAGAAGCAAAAAAGUAUAAAGAAGCAGACUUGCAGGGAAAGAAAUCUUGUCCCUCAGCACCUUUGGACCCUACAUGUGUAACAUGGGGAUAUCAGUCUAGUUUCAUGGCUCCGAUGGCCAAACGCACAUGAAAGGCUUAGAAGUGAUCCUGCAGCACUUGGCAGACAGUGGGGAAAGAAAUCUUCGGCAGUCCAGGUGGCAAGAUGGACUCGAUGGGAAACGAGCUUGCUAAUGCCUUCAGUACAUCUGCAACGAGCGUCAUCGCUAAACCCUGCCACCCUCACGCCUAGCCCAGAUGAGGGACACCCGCAUCAGUGUUGCCUUAAGGAAGAGCCCAUGGACCUUCCAUUGGUAAAAGAAACUGC
Molecule: long non-coding RNA, 409 nt
Organism: Mauremys reevesii (Reeves's turtle)
Lineage: Eukaryota; Metazoa; Chordata; Testudines; Geoemydidae
Exons: 3
Source: RefSeq, a predicted model, not a curated record